CUUGACACUGAACAUUGAGCCUUGAUGUGUAGGAUAGGUGGGAGGCUUUGAAGUGUGGACGCCAGUCUGCAUGGAGCCGGCCUUGAAAUACCACCCUUUAAUGUUUGAUGUUCUAACGUUGACCCGUAAUCCGGGUUGCGGACAGUGUCUGGUGGGUAGUUUGACUGGGGCGGUCUCCUCCUAAAGAGUAACGGAGGAGCACGAAGGUUGGCUAAUCCUGGUCGGACAUCAGGAGGUUAGUGCAAUGGCAUAAGC
This 255-nucleotide ribosomal RNA is filed under the name Escherichia coli. Its description in RNAcentral is "partial 23S ribosomal RNA". It matches the Rfam family "Bacterial large subunit ribosomal RNA", at positions 2110 to 2364 of the family's 2925-position model. The record is from RNAcentral. Lineage: Bacteria; Pseudomonadati; Pseudomonadota; Gammaproteobacteria; Enterobacterales; Enterobacteriaceae.